GGUCCUUUAGUAUAAGCAGGCUGUACGACUACCCUUCACGUAAUUAGUGCCAGUUCGAAUCUGGUAAGGACUA
Transfer RNA from Plicaturopsis crispa FD-325 SS-3, 73 nucleotides. It matches the Rfam family "tRNA". Rfam says of the family: Transfer RNA (tRNA) molecules are approximately 80 nucleotides in length. Lineage: Eukaryota; Fungi; Basidiomycota; Agaricomycetes; Amylocorticiales; Amylocorticiaceae. The record is from Rfam.